GGCUGUAGCUCAGUGGCAGAGCAUCUGCCUUGCAUGCAGAAAGUCCCAAAUUCGGAUCCCGACAUCUCUGGGUAGGGCUG
This is a non-coding RNA of Podarcis lilfordi (Lilford's wall lizard), 80 nucleotides long. The record is from the annotation of a GenBank genome assembly. NCBI's taxonomy places the organism in Eukaryota, Metazoa, Chordata, Lepidosauria, Squamata, Lacertidae.